GAUGAACGCUGGCGGCGUGCCUAAUACAUGCAAGUCGAGCGAACGGACGAGAAGCUUGCUUCUCUGAUGUUAGCGGCGGACGGGUGAGUAACACGUGGAUAACCUACCUAUAAGACUGGGAUUACUUCGGGAAACCGGAGCUACUACCGGAUAAUAUUUUGAACCGCAUGGUUCAAAAGUGAAAGACGGUCUUGCUGUCACUUAUAGAUGGAUCCGCGCUGCAUUAGCUAGUUGGUAAGGUAACGGCUUACCAAGGCAACGAUGCAUAGCCGACCUGAGGGGGUGAAGGGCCACACUGAGACUGAGACACGGUACAGACACCGACGGGAGGCAGAAGUAGGGAAGCUUCCGAAAUGGGCGAAAGACUGAAGGAGGAACGCAGCGUGAGUGAUGAAGGUCUGCGGAUCGGAAAACGCUGUUAGUAGGGAAGAACAUAUGUGUAAGUAACUGUGCACAUCUUGACGGUACCUAAUAAGAAAGCCACGGCUAACUACGUG
RNAcentral lists this ribosomal RNA (497 nucleotides) under uncultured bacterium. Its description in RNAcentral is "partial 16S ribosomal RNA". It matches the Rfam family "Bacterial small subunit ribosomal RNA", at positions 28 to 507 of the family's 1533-position model. The record is from RNAcentral.